Molecule: long non-coding RNA, 8482 nt
Organism: Mus musculus (house mouse)
Lineage: Eukaryota; Metazoa; Chordata; Mammalia; Rodentia; Muridae
Product: predicted gene, 33856
Exons: 3
Source: RefSeq, a predicted model, not a curated record
UGGAGGUGGGGGUGGGGGUGGGAUUACAGUCCUUGCAGGCGGCUCUCUGUGGAAAACGGCAGAAACUGUUAUAAAUUGUGCUUUCAGAGGUCUGCACUGCUCAGCAAAAAAUUAGCCUCCAAAGUUUUAAUUGGUACACCCAAAAUAAAUCCUUUUAAUGAGUGAAUUAACUGAUUUGGGACACAAACAUGGGAAAAUCAAAGAAAGCAAAUGUUGUGAGCAAUUUGUUCUUUAAAAAUGGACCCCAAAGGGCCAUUCCCUGACUAGUUCAGAGCCCUCGAGUAGAGUGAUCUGCGGCCUCUUCGGUGCCAGCCAGCCACAGUACCUGCAAGUGCACUGGAUGGCCAGUUGAAGGACUGUGUGCAAAACUGCUCCGAGCAGCCCUGAAGGACCCGUCUGAAAGGUUACUCCCCGUGAGAAAUACGCUGGUGGACAGAGCCCCAAGCUACAAGUUGCAAACACACAAAUACAUGUAGUGAACACAUUUACAAAUGGAGGCUCAGAGGUGCGUGCCAACCAGUGCGAGUAACCUUUUCAUUUCUGUACUAAGUGGCAGACUUUCUCAAAUCCUAGGUGUGUAAAGUAUAAUAGGACAAGCAGUAAUUGACUUUUAAACUCCACCCACCACCAGGGCUGCAAUUAAGAACUGCUGCUCAGCAAAGUUCAUAACUUGUAGGCUCUUUCCCCCAAUCCAAUUAAAACCCAGGUCUUCUGAGAAGGUGAGAACGUAGGAUUUACAUCGCAGCUCUCGUUUCAAAGGGCAGAGUGGCCAACAUCCAAUCUGGCAAGGCCAGUCCCCUCAGGCCAGAGAGAACACGAGAGCUUUCUGCCCAAUAGCCGAAAAAUGUGUUCAGAGAUGAAGAUAAAAGCAAUUCUUGUGCAGUGAUCCAAAAAAUAGCAUCUCUUUCCCCCCCAAAAUUACUUGUUUUAAUAAAGUAGACACACUGUGCCAACUCAACCAUUUAAUUAUCUGCAAAAAUGAUGAAUCAAAACAAUAGUUUGCAACAAUAAAUGACUAACCUCUGAUUAAAAUGUCUGUCCUCAUUAAAUCAAAAUAAAAGGCACAGUAUCUUAAAAAGAAAAAAAAAAGUAGCCUGAGAAAAUGAGCCGCCCCAGCCUCUAUGGCCUCACCUGUGAUAGUGACCAUGGCCUCCUGCAUGGGCACUGGUGCAUGUCCUCUUCCUAAGUGAGAGGACACAGGGACGCAUCGGUGUGGUGCCCUCAGAGGACUGUGACAUGAUAGGCGUUGCUCCUAUGUGGUCCUGUAGCCAGGACGGGGGCUUGUAUAAUUGCUGAUGCUGUUUUGCUAAGGGGCCUAGGGCAGGGAAGCUGGGAAGGAAGGGAGCAGAAGAAAACUUGCCUUCACAUGUGAUCGCAUCUCAGACUGGAGCUGAGCAGGGAAGGAGGGACGGGACCCAAGGCUGUACAACCCUGGAACCUCCAAACAUCUUUCACCCAGUAAACUGGAUCUCAAGCAAGCAGUGGCUUCUAAAGGCAGGAAGUGGAGGGUUGCCUGCAAGAUACAGUAAGACUCGGAAUCCAGUCAGGGCCUAUUCGUGGCUGCCUUUACAGCCUGUGGAGGUCAUAGCAGGCCAAGAGAGAGCAGGACCUCUGGUUCAGGUCAAAGGUACAUAUGGUAUCUGGAGUGCCCUUUGUGGGUGUUAUUUGUAAUUUGCUAAAAACAGAAGAGAAGGUGUCAUUCAAGCUUACAAAAGAGAUAAUGGAAAUGAUAUUACAUAAAACGUCUCUAUUCACACAUCUGAACAGGUCAGCGACAAGGCAGGAAUGGCCCCAAAACCAGUUCUUCUCUGGAACAAGACCAUAAAUAUUGAGCACCUCCUGUAUGCCUGGUCCUGGCUGGGUGCUCGGCACACUGGGAAAUGAGAUGCCUUUGUUUUGUUAUCCUAAAUGAAUCCUGAACUUUGGCUGUGAAAACAACUACUCUGUGUGUGUGUGUACAUGUGUGUGGAGGUCAGAGGUCAGCCUCAGGUGUCAUCACACAGGAAGGCUAUCCUCAGUUUUUUGAUACAGUCUCUUCCUGGCCUGGAGCUCUCCACUAAGCUAGGUUCUGGCCACCGAGCACCAUAGAGUCCUCUGUCUUUGUCUCCCCAGCACCGGGAUUAUUAAUGAGAGCCCCCGCUCCCAGUUUUGUCUGUGGGUGCUGGGGAUUGGUCUCAGGUCCUCACAUAAACUCUGAACUAUCUUUGCAGUCCUGAAUAACCCUGAACAAGACCCGUUAGCUAAAGGUAGAACUCCUUCCUUAGACCUGGGCAGUCAAGCACAAUGCCCAAGCUGUCCAGGAAACGUAUGUAACCAGGAAGCUCAGUGGCCACAGAAGCCACCUGCCCUGAGUCUACAGAGGUGACAGGACCGUUGGCAGAAAUAGCAAGAGUUGGGGACCAGGCAACGUUCAAGACAAAGAUCUUCUCUAAGGACAGAGUUCUGCUGGCACUGGAUGUAUCUGAAGUCAAUACACAGGGCAAGGCAUGUAAAAGCCCAGUGUGUUCACUGCCUCUACCGAGUGAGCAAUUCAGGAUGCCUCUAUGUGUCACCAGAGUGAUGCACAGGGCCAGCGAGGUAAGCUCCACUCCCUCAUUCAAGAUUAUGGAUGUCGCCUUGCCAGUGAAUCAAGAGAUUGCUCAUGCUGUAAAAGAAAGCACUCGCCAACAAAGGAUCUCACCUUGGAGGAAAGUUUGGCAUCAUUCACCAUCCCAGAGAUGAUGCUAAGACAAAUCUGAGUGUGAAGAGUCUCAUUCUCUGUGACAUGUGACAAAUAAUUCCAUCCAAACACAGGCUGGACCAAAGGCUUGUUCUCCCUCUCUCUCUCGCUCUCCUUCUCCCCUCCUUCCCUCCCUCCUUUCUUUCCCUCUAGUAAAUAGCACAGAGGCUUAGGAUCAUCACCGGCACUAACUAAGAAGGAAGGGAAGCACAGGGGGCAUGCAGGGCAGCACUGAAGGAAAGAUGAGGUGAGGUGGGGGCAGGGGUAGACUCAGGUGCUCUGUCUGUGAGAAAGUUAGCUCUGCUGUCCUUAAAUAGGCUGGGCUCUCCUCUGUGCUGCUGUCAGAAGUUAGAUGCAUGUGUCCCCAGAGAAGGGAGGGCACUCUGGUGUGAGACACUGGGCAGCUUCUGAGCUGAUUACCCACCCCUGUGAAGUCGAAUCAUUGCCUGGUAAAUCUCAAGAUGCUAGCCUGAGCCCCGUACCUUCCAGGCCCCAGGCAGAUGGAGAAAGAGAGGAGUGUGAAGCAGAGGGGACGUGGGCUGGCAGAUCAUGGGUCCUAGGCUAGGGCCUCUGCAGAGAGGUGGCUGGAACAUGAGAGCUGCAACUGUUCACCAUCCCUGGCUCUUUGGAGGUCUGAUCUAGAGAAUGAAGCUUUGAGGAAGGGCAGGCAGGUGACACUGAGGUGGUCCCCAGCUCAGAUGGGACCUGAUGCUGGUGGACAGACACAGGAACUCAUGGAGCUACAAAGCUCACAACAGGGAAAGGAACUGAGGGUUCAAUGCCACUAUGUGGCAUGGUGGGUUUGGCCACCUCCCAUCAUUUUAAGGUUCAGGGAAGACUGCAGCACGGGAGACAAAGAUGUACACAGCACAACUCGCACGGCCCCACUCCUGAUAAGGGGUUGUUGGAGGUGCUUCCUUCAUCCCCUUAGCUGUCCCAAAAAAGACCCGAGAAUGGGUCUGGAGUACUGUAGUAACAGCAACACCCCUGUGGAGUCUUUGCCUGCUCCUGACGCCCUUGGGACUUAGAGAUCCUAGUCAGCCAUGUGUUCAAGGCCUCUCUCUCCCUAAUGAGAGCUGAGAGGCUGAGGCAGUAGGGAUUUCCAGAGCACUGGGGCCACCCUGACACUUGGGUGCUUUCGUGAAUCAUUUGGGCUUGUACACUUUCACCUUUCAGGCUGACAAAGGGAGAGAAACAAACAGCAGCCUGGACUGAACAAGAGCCACGGCCUCAGGGCCUGAUGUCCAAACCUGAAUUUAAAUCUCAGCCCUGGGUGCAGUGCUGGGCGGGUCCAUCUCUCUAAACUCCUUCUCCUACUUAGAAUUGUCUUGGGUUUUACAUUAGUGACAAAAGGCCCAAACAGUGCACUCAGGGGUUCCACCCGGGGAAGGGCGGGUAUAAUUAAAUACAUUAUUUCUAUUAACUCGAUCUAUUUUAAUAAAAUAGAUAGGUGUCAUCUAUUUUAGCUCCCUAAAUGUGUUUAAAUGAAAGACAUUACCGUAAUAUCCUCUCCUCCCCUCUCAGCUGACGGUUGAUUACUGCGAGAGACACAUACAUGGAGAACAGAACAAAAGGCAAACUUGAUACGCAAGCCUCUGCAGACAGCAGUGUCCAGAGCAGCCCCAGCAGAGGUGUCAGGAGCAGAUGAAGAGCUGGGGUUAAGUACACUUCCUUGGUUAUUAGUAUGCUUUGGGCCAGGCCUGCAAUGGGGUCCUCUGCCAGGAAGGAAGUUAUGAGAAGAUGAACACAGUGGGAGGAGGGAGUGCCCAGAUACCUGCUCUCUGUCAAGGUGCUGUCUAAACAGAGUGCCCAUGAGGUCUAGGGCCUGUAGAUACAUAGCAUCAGGCAGGAUCUUGGACCACCUUGAGCUGCAUGUAUACAUGGUACCUGUGGCCCUGAUGGGGGUACAACCACACCUUGUCUCAAACAACUGCAGUUGUUUUUGCCAAACUGACCUGGGAGAUGUGGCAUCUCAGGUGCUGCUCAGGUGGGAAACUUGGGCCUGAAGUUGAUCUGCAAGUUCCUGUCAAGGUCCAUCCAAGGCCCCUUGUCUGCCUCACCCAUGGAUUGAAGGCAUUGCUGCUCAAGCUCUGCCAGGCUUUCAAGCCAGAUACAGACCGAGAACGCAGUGGGAGUCGGCCACCUACUUAAGAGCUCUGAAGUACCUGUCACCUCAUAAUAUUUUAAUUUUCCAUAAUGACUAAACUGGAAUAGGUCUUGGUGCUCCCCCACCUGCAGAGAGUAGGAGCACGCACAAAGGCCCCGGCAGUCAUCAGCUCCACCAAGGAUUUUUCCUGCAGACACCAAAGGCACAUGCAGAAAGAUUUUAUAGAUGCUGCUGGCAGGCUCUGCCUGCCUGGCACUUCCCUCUUUCCUGCCCCUAAGCCGUCAUCCUGUCGCCUCCCCAGAAGGGCCUGUGGGCUGUCUGCCACAGAAAACAGCCCACUUGUAAGUGAUGAUGCAUUUCGGCUUCCCGGCUUCCAGAGAUGCUGGCUGAAGAGUCGCAGAGCCUUUACUGCCGUUUCCCUGUACUGGGGUGGGGAAGAACAAAUCUUCCCUAACAGUCAGAAGUGACCAUAUCCGUCAGACUUCUGGGAGGGAGCACAAGGCUGCAGUGAAGACCAUGCUGGGCAUGUGCCAGUGUGUCCUGAGUCAGGACUCCCCACAAAUCUUUGGGCUCCUCCACAGGUCAUGUCCAGCAGAGAAAGUGAGUAUGGAGAGCACCCCUAUUCCCACAAGACCUCCUGCCUUGCAAACUGUUUUUACUAAGCCCUGGAUCCUCCCAGCAAUUGGGGGGGGGGGGCUGGACACUCCUUGUCUUUCCCAGGUGUGAGAGUAGCUACAGCAAUGUAUCACCUGCCUGAGCAUAAUGCAAGCCUCUAGGGGAUGCUACUCAUGCACACUGUGCAGUGUACAACCUGGGAGGCUGCACCCAGGAUUUCUCUCUGAAAGCUGGGUAGCAUGUGUCAAAAUUCUGAGCAUGAUGUGACAGCCUUUGCCAACAGGUCUCUUGAUGAUCACAGAGCCUGCCAUGGGCCCCGGAGUCUGCUGAAUGAGCAGCGGCUUAGCCUUGCUCCUUCUGUGGGCUGUGUUACCCACAUCUUCCUGACUUAGAGAGCAGAGAAGCCCGCCCCCAGGCUUCCAAACAGGCCCUUGUCUACUGAAAGGCAAGGUAGGUGGAACUGGUGCUGUGCCUGAUGCAAAAGCAGAGUGGAGCACGGACGUAGAGAGUGACGCAGGCUGGCAGGACAGGGGUGCGACAUGUCAAAGGGCAGAUUGAUCUGGGCAGGAGAGGUCUGGAAGGAUGCAGUCACUCAUGGCUGGGGACAUGGGAGACAUGCAGGUCUGACCGGCAGAUGAAGGCUCAGGCUGUGCUUGGAGGAAGCACUUGUCACCGGGACAGCAGGACAUUACAGUUAGAAAGGGUUGGUCAAGGGGGCAAGCCACAGCAUUCGUGUGUCUAGGCACCUGCUUGGGCUAGACCACAAGCCCAGCCAAGUGGGCUUGUAGUAAAUGAGGAGGGGCCAUGCUAACAUUCCAGCUGAGGAUUCAUAGGGCACGGUCCAGCCAUGGGCCACGGGCAGGGUGUCAGGCUCAGCCCCUCUGUGGAGCCUUGCAGAGACACUGGCUCGAGCUCUUGAGUGCCCCUGUGAACGGGCCUAUGCGUAGUGUUCAUUAACUCCUGUGACACGGUGGCCACGGGGAAUGUACAAAAGCAUAUCCAAUUAGCCAGGCCUCUGUGAGGAUUUGCACUCUUAAAUCUUUCUGCAUUUCGAAAGGGUUAAAGCUUAUUAUUAGCAUAUAAUUUACAGUCCUUUCUCCCAGGGAAGGAAUAAUGCACAGUAAAUGCCACAUUCAUUUUAAUAAUACAUGUUACAGUCUGUGCCCACAUCUGCACAAAGGUAAAGGAGACAGAUUUUUUUGACAUGUCCCACUCUGCCAUCUAAACACAGGCUUUUUGUUUCUUAAGUGACGGAAGGUUUAAUCAAGAAAGCAGGCAAUUCAUCAAUCGAAACAAGGCAGUGUGCGUGCGCCUGACAGCGCACACAUGGUUGUGUACAGAGCGAACCUGGCCACCUGUCAGCCACCCCUCUACAUCAGGAUCUACAGAUAUGCUGGGUGAUCAAUUCCCAUCCUUCUGUUCAGCUCUUCUUAUCCUUAUUAUAUAUUUUUCUGUAGACUUGAUCUCACUGCCAGUCAUGGCUAGGCCCAACAGAUACACAAGGUGAGCCACAGCUCCCACAGUGGUAACCGAAGUCCCUUCCACCCCUGCCACUACUGCCACCACUGCCACCACUGCCACCACUCACUUCCCUCUGGACCUGAGCACUGCUGUCAGGUCAGCCACUUUCACUGCAUUCUGGAAUGUCCCCCACACUGCACUCUGUGGCUGGUUCAAGUCGCCUCUCCCUGCUGGGCAUUCGUGUGUCUAGGCACCUAACAGCUUUCUAAGUCGUCCUAGGUAUCCCCAGCGCUCCAAUAGAUAAAGGAAAGCGGAGCUGGGAAAUGCAACAUCCCUUCAGGCCACAACAGCAUGUCCACGAGAGAUGAAGGCCACAGGGACACAGGGAACACAGAGGCAGCAUCCAGUGGACAUCAUUAGUGAACCACUCAGCUCAUAUUUGAACUAGGAGGAGACCCACAGCAUGCCACAAGUGGAACCAAGCGUUAUCUGCAUGCCACAGGACAUCUGGGCUGCCCUGUCAUCUGAGCCUCACUUCUCUCGAUCCCAGCCUGAAAAGCUUCACUAAGGCACAAGAGACAGACAGACAGACAGACAAGUCACUCCAAAUGAAAGGAACUAUGUUUGGGGUGGAGUGUUCUGCUUGUACAGCUGCCCAAGCCAGCGUUCCUCAGCUCAUCCACAGAUCUCUGCUUCAGAGAAAAGUGUCCUCCUGUCUGCCCUGACAAGAGGACAGACUUCAACCCAAGCACCUUCAGCCGUCCUCGGCAUUAAGUGUCUUAAGAGGAUCUGGUUUUUCAGAGUGCAGCCAUGGAGGCCAGGAAGAUGUGGCUUGAGCAAUCAGAGACUGCUAGGGGUGUUUGUGGGGGACCUAACACUAGGGAGUAGGGAGUCAAAGCCAUGGAGCGGCCGACCCAGGCCAGAUCAGGACACUGGGCCACCUGCCUGGGGGGGAGGGGGUUGACAAGGACCCUGUGUUUCUGCACAGUGGUGUCCCUUGGGGCCAGAGGUGUGUGUGUGUGUGUGUGUGUGUGUGUGUGUGUGUGUGUGUGUGUGUGGCUUUCCUCACUUGACAGUUUUCAUUUGUAUUUGCUUAAUUUUUAUACCUUUAAUGCCCCCCCAAAAGAUUUUAAAAACUUUUCUGUGGUUUAAAAGGCAAUUAGAGGGAGGAAAGAGAAGGGAGAAACUGUAAUUAUAUUUUAAUUUCAAAAACUAUUUUGAAAAGGCAAUUUCGUGAAGCUCCUAACUGCAGUCAGCAGAGGCCUGGGCGCCCAGCUCCACUGCUCUGGAGGCGCAGUCAUUAAGUGCAUCUGCCACUCGGCUGAAGAAGUACCCUGGGUUAGGAAACGGCAUGGAGACCCUUCCCUCGGGAGUCCUCUGCUACAGUGUGUGACAGCAGGAGCUGAGGAGGGACAGCCUAGGUGCAUUUUUUUCUCACCAAGAUCUCCAGUAAUGCGGGCCACUUCAGCUGAGAGUGGCCAGCUGAGUACCCAGGCCACACGGACUGUUCUCAUCAAACGCCAUUAUCCGCACAGAAAGCUGGGUGUGCUACGAACAGAAUAAAUGCCCAUGAAUGUAAA